GAAAAAGUUUCAGAUUCAAAAACCAAAAAAAAUCAAAAGAAACAGUUUCAGAUUCAGUUUCAGAUUCAAACCCUAAAUCGCCGUUGUUACUGAUUCCUGUUGAUGAAAUACUCCGACGAUUAAUCACUAGAUCGGAGAAGGAGAACAAUCGUUUGUGCAUAAAAUCCAUGAAAUAACUGAUUAAAUAGAAACAAAGAUUCAGAAUCAAAUUUCUUUUGGAAUAAAAAUGGUGAAAGGAAAAAUGAAUCCCCCUAGAAAAGAUGAUACAAUUACAGGAAACCUAAGGCAGUCGUUGAAUGCAGUAAAGGAUUUAGUAAAGGUGAUAAAGCCUAUAGGACUGACUGAUAGGG
Long non-coding RNA from Papaver somniferum (opium poppy), 350 nucleotides. RefSeq lists it as uncharacterized. NCBI's taxonomy places the organism in Eukaryota, Viridiplantae, Streptophyta, Magnoliopsida, Ranunculales, Papaveraceae. The transcript has 4 exons. The record is from RefSeq and is a predicted model, not a curated record.